Non-coding RNA from Capsicum annuum, 106 nucleotides. The record is from Rfam. NCBI's taxonomy places the organism in Eukaryota, Viridiplantae, Streptophyta, Magnoliopsida, Solanales, Solanaceae.
AUGUGUGUGAUGAGGAAGCAAUAUUUGUGGACUAGAGUUUCUGAUCUGGGGAUUAGACCCCCCAAUUUGGUUGAAGACAAAACCCUUGGCUGUCUGAGCAACUCUU